This 267-nucleotide signal recognition particle RNA is filed under the name Caldifarciminota bacterium. RNAcentral's name for it is "signal recognition particle sRNA large type". It matches the Rfam family "Bacterial large signal recognition particle RNA". Rfam says of the family: The signal recognition particle (SRP) is a universally conserved ribonucleoprotein involved in the co-translational targeting of proteins to membranes. Archaeal SRP consists of a 7S RNA and homologues of the eukaryotic SRP19 and SRP54 proteins. Lineage: Bacteria; Pseudomonadati; Caldifarciminota. The record is from RNAcentral.
UCGUGCUAGAUGGGAGGCUGGCGGUCUCCUGUUACCCGAAACCCGCCAAUGCGGGAUCGAAUAGGCAUGUUGAGUGCUGAAAAAGGAGAGACAAGUUUAAAGGACCGAAAGCGAUGAAGGUUGGGUCUUACAAUGGCUUCGGCUACAAAUCCCGCCAGGACCGGAAGGUAGCAACGGUAAGUAGUUUUGGUGUCAGUUGUGAGGAAAACCUAAUCCGAGUUUUCCUCCUUUAAAACCCUCUUCGUUUCAGGCGAACUUGCUGCACGA